Molecule: ribosomal RNA, 623 nt
Filed under: Lactobacillus gasseri
Lineage: Bacteria; Bacillati; Bacillota; Bacilli; Lactobacillales; Lactobacillaceae
Description: bacterial SSU rRNA
Rfam family: Bacterial small subunit ribosomal RNA
Source: RNAcentral
AUGGACGCAAGUCUGAUGGAGCAACGCCGCGUGAGUGAAGAAGGGUUUCGGCUCGUAAAGCUCUGUUGGUAGUGAAGAAAGAUAGAGGUAGUAACUGGCCUUUAUUUGACGGUAAUUACUUAGAAAGUCACGGCUAACUACGUGCCAGCAGCCGCGGUAAUACGUAGGUGGCAAGCGUUGUCCGGAUUUAUUGGGCGUAAAGCGAGUGCAGGCGGUUCAAUAAGUCUGAUGUGAAAGCCUUCGGCUCAACCGGAGAAUUGCAUCAGAAACUGUUGAACUUGAGUGCAGAAGAGGAGAGUGGAACUCCAUGUGUAGCGGUGGAAUGCGUAGAUAUAUGGAAGAACACCAGUGGCGAAGGCGGCUCUCUGGUCUGCAACUGACGCUGAGGCUCGAAAGCAUGGGUAGCGAACAGGAUUAGAUACCCUGGUAGUCCAUGCCGUAAACGAUGAGUGCUAAGUGUUGGGAGGUUUCCGCCUCUCAGUGCUGCAGCUAACGCAUUAAGCACUCCGCCUGGGGAGUACGACCGCAAGGUUGAAACUCAAAGGAAUUGACGGGGGCCCGCACAAGCGGUGGAGCAUGUGGUUUAAUUCGAAGCCACGCGAAGAACCUACCAGGUCUGACAU